CCGAGCUUCUCUUAAAUUACUGAGACAGAGAGCUAUUCCACUCCACCAGACGUCCCAACUGAGCUUUAGCCGUCCGGCCCAAACUCUCUGGCAAGUCACGAUAACGGACACUACUCCACUCUCUAUAACAGAAUCUACGUGGCCCCACCACUCUCUGAUAAGUCGCGACAACAGACACUACCCCACUCUCUAUAACAGACCCCACGUGUUCCCACCACUCUCUGGCAAGUCGCGAUAAUGGACACCAUUCCACUCUCUGUAACAAACUUCACAUGGCCC
Molecule: long non-coding RNA, 279 nt
Filed under: Elaeis guineensis (African oil palm)
Lineage: Eukaryota; Viridiplantae; Streptophyta; Magnoliopsida; Arecales; Arecaceae
Description: long non-coding RNA (EGUI_LNC057008)
Source: RNAcentral